GGGACUGUUUGCGUGGGACGGCAUGAAUGAAUGUCCCCUCUGGGGAGCUUCUCCGGCGGAUCUCCUCAAAGAGGCCAGAAGGAAGCCGAACAAGAAGCUGAGCAAACAAACAGGAGCUCUGGUUCCUCUUUCGUCUCCUCGUCUUGGUUUUGUUCUCUAAACCGGCGAGUGAGGAAUGCGUUUCCCUCCAGCUGGAGACGCCAGGACGCCCGUUCCCCAGGCAGCAGGAGAACACAGUUCAACGCUGAACACGUUUUAACUCAAUUUGUUGAAGCUGAAGCUGAACUGAGCGGUGAAAAGAUGAGCAGCCGGUUGGAGUGAAAUAUUUCCUAAUGGACCAGAAAUGACCACCGAGACGUCAAAAGGGUGAAACACCAGCCGUGUCCCAGGAAACCGUCUGAUCGGUUCCACACAUGAGAACGUUAAACGCCACUGAAGCGUGAAGACAACAUCCGCUGGUUAUUACAAUGAUAAUAUAUCAGAAAUAGAG
Long non-coding RNA from Gasterosteus aculeatus aculeatus (three-spined stickleback), 490 nucleotides. The record is from Ensembl. NCBI's taxonomy places the organism in Eukaryota, Metazoa, Chordata, Actinopteri, Perciformes, Gasterosteidae.